RNAcentral lists this unclassified non-coding RNA (276 nucleotides) under uncultured fungus. RNAcentral describes it as "sequence contains ITS1, 5.8S rRNA gene". The stretch from base 228 to 276 matches the Rfam family "5.8S ribosomal RNA", at positions 1 to 49 of the family's 154-position model. Lineage: Eukaryota; Fungi. The record is from RNAcentral.
UCUCCGUUGGUGAACCAGCGGAGGGAUCAUUACAGAGUUUUUAACUCCCAAACCCAUGUGAACUUACCAUUGUUUACUCGGCAGAAGCUGCUCGGUGCACCCUACCUUGGAACGGCAUACCCUGUAGCGCCUUACCCUGGACCGGCUUACCCUGUAGCGCCCCGCCGGUGGAUUUUCAAACUCUUGUUAUUUUUAGUAAUCUGUGCGUCUUAUUUUAAAUAAGUCAAAACUUUCAACAACGGAUCUCUUGGUUCUGGCAUCGAUGAAGAACGCAGC